ACUCCUACGGGAGGCAGCAGUGGGGAAUAUUGCACAAUGGGCGCAAGCCUGAUGCAGCCAUGCCGCGUGUAUGAAGAAGGCCUUCGGGUUGUAAAGUACUUUCAGCAGUGAGGAAGGUGGGUAGUGUUAAUAGCAUACUCAUUUGUACGUUAGCUGCAGAAGAAGCACCGGCUAACUCCGUGCCAGCAGCCGCGGUAAGUACGGAGGGUGCGAGCGUUAAUCGGAAUUACUGGGCGUAAAGCGCAUGCAGGUGGUUUGUUAAGUCAGAUGUGAAAGCCCGGGGCUCAACCUCGGAAUUGCAUUUGAAACUGGCAAACUAGAGUACUGUAGAGGGGGUAGAAUUUC
This 345-nucleotide ribosomal RNA is filed under the name uncultured bacterium. Its description in RNAcentral is "bacterial SSU rRNA". It matches the Rfam family "Bacterial small subunit ribosomal RNA", at positions 335 to 669 of the family's 1533-position model. The record is from RNAcentral.